RNAcentral lists this long non-coding RNA (254 nucleotides) under Elaeis guineensis (African oil palm). RNAcentral's name for it is "long non-coding RNA (EGUI_LNC019290)". Lineage: Eukaryota; Viridiplantae; Streptophyta; Magnoliopsida; Arecales; Arecaceae. The record is from RNAcentral.
CCCCUACAUCAAUUGCAAGUCUUCUUUGCCACUACAUUGAUCAAUUUGAAUCUAGUGGUCACAAUUAAAUGACCUUUCAUACCGUCAAUCUCUCCCAUCAUUGAUCUCAAGUUGCAACGUAGUAUCUUCAUGAUCCCAAGAUUUCAUUCAUCAGUUAUUAAUUCUAACCUAUAGUUGCCAUAUGAUAAACAAGGAGGUACUUAGGCAAGGAAAAAACUUCUAUAGCCGAGCCUAUUAUGAAAAGAAUCAUGGUC